Molecule: ribosomal RNA, 2340 nt
Filed under: Escherichia coli
Lineage: Bacteria; Pseudomonadati; Pseudomonadota; Gammaproteobacteria; Enterobacterales; Enterobacteriaceae
Description: partial 23S ribosomal RNA
Rfam family: Bacterial large subunit ribosomal RNA
Source: RNAcentral
UUUUGUAUAAUGGGUCAGCGACUUAUAUUCUGUAGCAAGGUUAACCGAAUAGGGGAGCCGAAGGGAAACCGAGUCUUAACUGGGCGUUAAGUUGCAGGGUAUAGACCCGAAACCCGGUGAUCUAGCCAUGGGCAGGUUGAAGGUUGGGUAACACUAACUGGAGGACCGAACCGACUAAUGUUGAAAAAUUAGCGGAUGACUUGUGGCUGGGGGUGAAAGGCCAAUCAAACCGGGAGAUAGCUGGUUCUCCCCGAAAGCUAUUUAGGUAGCGCCUCGUGAAUUCAUCUCCGGGGGUAGAGCACUGUUUCGGCAAGGGGGUCAUCCCGACUUACCAACCCGAUGCAAACUGCGAAUACCGGAGAAUGUUAUCACGGGAGACACACGGCGGGUGCUAACGUCCGUCGUGAAGAGGGAAACAACCCAGACCGCCAGCUAAGGUCCCAAAGUCAUGGUUAAGUGGGAAACGAUGUGGGAAGGCCCAGACAGCCAGGAUGUUGGCUUAGAAGCAGCCAUCAUUUAAAGAAAGCGUAAUAGCUCACUGGUCGAGUCGGCCUGCGCGGAAGAUGUAACGGGGCUAAACCAUGCACCGAAGCUGCGGCAGCGACACUAUGUGUUGUUGGGUAGGGGAGCGUUCUGUAAGCCUGUGAAGGUGUGCUGUGAGGUAUGCUGGAGGUAUCAGAAGUGCGAAUGCUGACAUAAGUAACGAUAAAGCGGGUGAAAAGCCCGCUCGCCGGAAGACCAAGGGUUCCUGUCCAACGUUAAUCGGGGCAGGGUGAGUCGACCCCUAAGGCGAGGCCGAAAGGCGUAGUCGAUGGGAAACAGGUUAAUAUUCCUGUACUUGGUGUUACUGCGAAGGGGGGACGGAGAAGGCUAUGUUGGCCGGGCGACGGUUGUCCCGGUUUAAGCGUGUAGGCUGGUUUUCCAGGCAAAUCCGGAAAAUCAAGGCUGAGGCGUGAUGACGAGGCACUACGGUGCUGAAGCAACAAAUGCCCUGCUUCCAGGAAAAGCCUCUAAGCAUCAGGUAACAUCAAAUCGUACCCCAAACCGACACAGGUGGUCAGGUAGAGAAUACCAAGGCGCUUGAGAGAACUCGGGUGAAGGAACUAGGCAAAAUGGUGCCGUAACUUCGGGAGAAGGCACGCUGAUAUGUAGGUGAAGUCCCUUGCGGAUGGAGCUGAAAUCAGUCGAAGAUACCAGCUGGCUGCAACUGUUUAUUAAAAACACAGCACUGUGCAAACACGAAAGUGGACGUAUACGGUGUGACGCCUGCCCGGUGCCGGAAGGUUAAUUGAUGGGGUUAGCGGUAACGCGAAGCUCUUGAUCGAAGCCCCGGUAAACGGCGGCCGUAACUAUAACGGUCCUAAGGUAGCGAAAUUCCUUGUCGGGUAAGUUCCGACCUGCACGAAUGGCGUAAUGAUGGCCAGGCUGUCUCCACCCGAGACUCAGUGAAAUUGAACUCGCUGUGAAGAUGCAGUGUACCCGCGGCAAGACGGAAAGACCCCGUGAACCUUUACUAUAGCUUGACACUGAACAUUGAGCCUUGAUGUGUAGGAUAGGUGGGAGGCUUUGAAGUGUGGACGCCAGUCUGCAUGGAGCCGACCUUGAAAUACCACCCUUUAAUGUUUGAUGUUCUAACGUUGGCCCCUGAUCGGGGUUGCGGACAGUGUCUGGUGGGUAGUUUGACUGGGGCGGUCUCCUCCUAAAGAGUAACGGAGGAGCACGAAGGUUGGCUAAUCCUGGUCGGACAUCAGGAGGUUAGUGCAAUGGCAUAAGCCAGCUUGACUGCGAGCGUGACGGCGCGAGCAGGUGCGAAAGCAGGUCAUAGUGAUCCGGUGGUUCUGAAUGGAAGGGCCAUCGCUCAACGGAUAAAAGGUACUCCGGGGAUAACAGGCUGAUACCGCCCAAGAGUUCAUAUCGACGGCGGUGUUUGGCACCUCGAUGUCGGCUCAUCACAUCCUGGGGCUGAAGUAGGUCCCAAGGGUAUGGCUGUUCGCCAUUUAAAGUGGUACGCGAGCUGGGUUUAGAACGUCGUGAGACAGUUCGGUCCCUAUCUGCCGUGGGCGCUGGAGAACUGAGGGGGGCUGCUCCUAGUACGAGAGGACCGGAGUGGACGCAUCACUGGUGUUCGGGUUGUCAUGCCAAUGGCACUGCCCGGUAGCUAAAUGCGGAAGAGAUAAGUGCUGAAAGCAUCUAAGCACGAAACUUGCCCCGAGAUGAGUUCUCCCUGACUCCUUGAGAGUCCUGAAGGAACGUUGAAGACGACGACGUUGAUAGGCCGGGUGUGUAAGCGCAGCGAUGCGUUGAGCUAACCGGUACUAAUGAACCGUGAGGCUUAACCUU